RNAcentral lists this ribosomal RNA (253 nucleotides) under uncultured bacterium. RNAcentral's name for it is "partial 16S ribosomal RNA". It matches the Rfam family "Bacterial small subunit ribosomal RNA", at positions 524 to 776 of the family's 1533-position model. The record is from RNAcentral.
UACGUAGGGGGCAAGCGUUAUCCGGAUUUACUGGGUGUAAAGGGAGCGUAGACGGCUUUGCAAGCCAGAUGUGAAAGCCCGGGGCUCAACCUCGGGACUGCAUUUGGAACUGUAUGGCUGGAGUGUCGGAGAGGCAGGCGGAAUUCCUAGUGUAGCGGUGAAAUGCGUAGAUAUUAGGAGGAACACCAGUGGCGAAGGCGGCCUGCUGGACGAUGACUGACGUUGAGGCUCGAAAGCGUGGGGAGCAAGCAGG